CCGCCCCGUCAGGACCCGCGGCAGCUGCCCCCGUCCCCCCGUCCCCGAGGAGCGACGCCGAAGGAGCGGGAGCGACUCACUCAUGGGAGCGCGGCGGGCGAGGCCGGCGACACCUCCGGCUUCCGAGGCGCCGGCGAAGUUAAUUGCACUGAAGUUCAAGUUGUCUUUUCACCCAUCAGGAGUGGGCGUUUAAAGGAAGGAGAGCGAGGAGGAGGAGGGGGAGGGGGGAGAGCCUCUCUCGCUCGCUCUCGCACACACACACACACACGCACACACACACACACAUACACAGAGAGAGAGAGAGAGAGAGAGACGCGCACACAGACACACGCACACAGACGCGCACGCCCGCCCGCUCCCGCGCUGCCUCAGCAGGAGGAGCCCGGCCGGAACACACCAGGGCAGCACCAGGUGAGGUAAUGAAACUGUUGAAUCUGCAGACUGAAACCGUCAGAAGCCUUUCCUGAGGUGCCCCUUACUGAAAUGCUACUGUGGCAUAAUGAUUUGGAAAUAAGCUUUUGUGUGAGAAGAGCUAUCGGAUCCUCUGGGAAACAUUACAGAUACUUUCCAGUUCCUUUCAGACAUCUGGAACUUGAAAUGGUCAAUAUUCAGAAGAAAAACUGCAUAAAUGUGUGUAUAUGUAAGAGUUAUGUUGACCCAUGAUUAAAAGAGAGGGUCCUCUUCUGCUGUUCAUCACAAAUGAUCAACAGAACUCUUCAUAAUGCUCAGAUGCUUGCAUCGAUCCCAAGAAAUACGAACUUUAUGAAGUAUGACUUGUUUCCGUCUCAAAGUGUGCAGCUAUAGCUAUAGCACUGAAAACCGUUGCAUGCUAUCUAGCAUUUCUCAUGAUUUUUUGCUUUCUUCAUGAUUUAAGCUAAGCACAUCAGAAACUGAAGAUAACGUUUUAACCUAUAAGAACAGCAGCCUGACUUCUGUAAUGUGCUCAUGUGCUAUUACCUGUGAAACAGAGCAAGAAGACUGCUCACUAGCAGGGUCUGCCCAUCGCUGUCCAGCUGCCUAAUGACAUGUUAAGACUUGGUUUCAGCAACUGUGCUCCAACCAGUAUUACUAUAAUUGGUUGUAGUUGAAGAUGUCAGUAAAAAAAUACAAUCAGGCUGGAGUGUCCUACGCAUAUUUUAAAUGCAAAUGGCCGUUAUCAGCUGUAUCAUAACUUUAUCUGAUGUCUGAUCUUAGUGGUGGCUCUGUGGAAAAGACUCAGAUGACUUUUUCUGAACACAGCUGCUCCUUUCAGUGCAUUUCUGCAGUCUUUUGAUUAUCUUACUUACUAUCUGUUGGCUAGACACCAACCUCCUGAACUUAGGCCUGUGUCACCUCACUACCUGUGUCUCUCCUAAAAAAUCUGUUCAUUCAAAAGGAUAUCAUGCCAACAAUAUAACAGAUUCAUCUGUCUUUCUGCAAACUGGCUUGAGUUUCUUCCAGCCACUCACUGGGGUUGCUUGUUUCCAGGCCCUGAUGCUGCACAGUACCUCAAUCCAUUCAGCUUCUCUUCAAGAUGGUAACUACUUUCCGCUCCACAUCUCUGCUGCAGAAGAUCUUGUGAUUACCUGAAAAAGUGAAUUGCAUCCUGUAGAUUUCCCCUUAAAACUUCUGCUUCACAGAAGAGAUCAGCUUGUGACAGAUGCGUCAGCAAUGUCAGACUCACUUCUCUGUUGCCUAAUUGCCCUCUCCACCUUCUGUCAAUCUGAAACUCUCAUUUUGGAAAGGACUGAAGGAGUUGUAUUAAUAUUUGUGCUAUCCACAUUUUUCCUGCAUAUUGUCUGCUCCUUCCCUUGGUGUCUGGUUUGUCUUGGCUGCUUUUAAAAAUUCUGUUGCCUCUAGUGAGGGACUGCCAGAUUAAACCAGUACAGAGAAUCCAGGUGACUGUCUACUUUUACAAAUAUAGGUUGUGUAUAAUAAAUUCAGGUUUUACAUCUAUGCAAAUUAAGUCAUCAUAUGAUUAUGACUACAUGCAUUUUUUUAUCAAAUAUGGCAUAUAUUUCACAAAUUAUAUUUAACUUAUACACAUGUUGCUAUUCUGAAUACCUGACUAGGAAUUACAAAGUGUGUCACUAGAUCUUAGUAAGUGGGCUUAUGGAACAAGAAGAAAUAAGAGAAAAUCACCUCUUUUCCUUGCAUUCCUGACAAGUCCAGUGUAAGGGCUUUUCCUACUCUAGAUGGCAAUAUAAACACCUUACCACAGAGCUGUUGAGAGAUAAAAGUACAUCUUGUUGUUGGAAACUUAAAGAAUGUAUGAAAAACAAAACAAAAUACCCUAAAAAAGGAAGUUUUAAAGUAAUGUGUCUUUGGUCUAGUGUUUGUCACAUCUACUUGGUAUGGCCUUCCUCUAAUGUUUCAGUCAUGCAGUGUAAGACAUUAGUCACAAUGUCAAAAUAAGCACAUUACUUCUGCAAAAAUGUAUUUUCACCUCAGGAAUAUUGUGAAGUGAAAAUAGGAUUUAGCACAAUUCUUCCUUUUGAGUUUUUCUACAGACAGGACAGUUUUAGUGUAAAGCUCUAAAUCUUGCAAGAUUAUUCCCAGCAUUAGGUACGACACAUCUGGAAGAAUCUGCCAACUGAGUGCUGGCAAGGAUUACGCUGAGAAGGUAACAACUCAGUGCUUUCACUGUUAACCGUCCUCCACAACUGCUGUUUUUUGGUGUUUUUGUGUGUGUGUGUUCGUUUGUUUCUUUGUUUUCCGAAUAAAUAAACAAAUACUUUGUUGAGCUCAA
Molecule: long non-coding RNA, 2728 nt
Filed under: Gallus gallus (chicken)
Lineage: Eukaryota; Metazoa; Chordata; Aves; Galliformes; Phasianidae
Description: lncRNA (ENSGALG00010002921.1)
Source: RNAcentral